GACGAACGCUGGCGGCGUGCUUAACACAUGCAAGUCGAACGGAAAGGCCCUGCUUUUGUGGGGUGCUCGAGUGGCGAGCGGGUGAGUAACACGUGAGUAACCUGCCCUUGACUUUGGGAUAACUUCAGGAAACUGGGGAUAAUACCGGAUAGGAGCUCCUGCUGCAUGGUGGGGGUUGGAACGCUUCGGCGGUUGGGGAUGGACUCGCGGCUUAUCAGCUUGUUGGUGGGGUAGUGGCUUACCAAGGCUUUGACGGGUAGCCGGCCUGAGAGGGUGACCGGCCACAUUGGGACUGAGAUACGGCCCAGACUCCUACGGGAGGCAGCAGUGGGGAAUAUUGCACAAUGGGCGGAAGCCUGAUGCAGCAACGCCGCGUGCGGGAUGACGGCCUUCGGGUUGUAAACCGCUUUCGCCUGUGACGAAGCGUGAGUGACGGUAAUGGGUAAAGAAGCACCGGCUAACUACGUG
RNAcentral lists this ribosomal RNA (468 nucleotides) under uncultured bacterium. RNAcentral's name for it is "partial 16S ribosomal RNA". It matches the Rfam family "Bacterial small subunit ribosomal RNA", at positions 28 to 507 of the family's 1533-position model. The record is from RNAcentral.